ACAGAGGGUGCAAACGUUGUUCGGAAUUACUGGGCGUAAAGCGCGUGUAGGCGGCUUGGCAAGUCGGGUGUGAAAGCCCUGGGCUCAACCUAGGAAGUGCACUCGAAACUGCUUCGCUGGAGUGUCGGAGAGGAAAGCGGAAUUCUCGGUGUAGAGGUGAAAUUCGUAGAUAUCGAGAGGAACAUCGGUGGCGAAGGCGGCUUUCUGGACGAUUACUGACGCUGAGACGCGAAAGCGUGGGGAGCAAACAGGA
RNAcentral lists this ribosomal RNA (253 nucleotides) under uncultured prokaryote. RNAcentral describes it as "partial 16S ribosomal RNA". It matches the Rfam family "Bacterial small subunit ribosomal RNA", at positions 525 to 777 of the family's 1533-position model. The record is from RNAcentral.